AACCACACUAUUAAUGAAUGGAUUCACUCGCGAGAUGACGUGGUUGUUUCACUUAGGACGAGGACAUGACAUCCUAUUAUCAGCCAUCGCACGAAAUUAAUAGGAUGUAACAUCCUCAUCUUAGAUGGAACAACCACGUCAUCUCACAGGUGAAUCUAUUCAUCAAUAGUGUGGUU
Molecule: non-coding RNA, 176 nt
Organism: Oryza nivara
Lineage: Eukaryota; Viridiplantae; Streptophyta; Magnoliopsida; Poales; Poaceae
Source: Rfam